Molecule: long non-coding RNA, 523 nt
Organism: Puma concolor (puma)
Lineage: Eukaryota; Metazoa; Chordata; Mammalia; Carnivora; Felidae
Source: RefSeq, a predicted model, not a curated record
GGAUGGCCACCCUCCUCAGCCACUCCGCCAAGCCAAGCGGAAGAGUGCUGUCAUGUGUGCUCCGUGUUCAGAAGGGAAGGCAGGAGCUGCCCGGCGGGACAUAACAAUUCGGGGGUUGGGGAAGGACCCCGAGACCAGCAGGCAGGGUCCAUCACUCUGGCUGAUGAAACACUGGGGUGAAUAAUGAGAACCCCGAGGGGGUCAUGCAAGGCCACCUAAGGAACCAUUACAGAAUUCCUGGCAGUUUAUUUCCUGUCAUGGAUGUUUGCACAGACGGCUCUGGUACAACACCAUCAGGGUGUCAGAUAGUGGGAGUCACACAGGAUGAAGCCUCUUUAGAUCGGCGCCCCUCGCUUAGUCAUACGCUGUCAAGUUUCCUCCGUGUGUUUUCAUGGCUUGUUAGCUCGUUUCUUUUUAUGGCCGAAUACUGUUCCACCGCCUGGAUGGACCAAGUUUGUUUAUCCAGCACCUACUGAAGGACAUCUUCGAUGCCUCCAAGUUUUGGCGAUUGUGAAUAAAACCA